RNAcentral lists this ribosomal RNA (413 nucleotides) under uncultured bacterium. RNAcentral's name for it is "partial 16S ribosomal RNA". It matches the Rfam family "Bacterial small subunit ribosomal RNA", at positions 360 to 774 of the family's 1533-position model. The record is from RNAcentral.
AAUAUUGCGCAAUGGAGGGAACUCUGACGCAGCGACGCCGCGUGAGCGAUGAAGGUCUUCGGAUCGUAAAGCUCUGUCCUUGGGGAAGAAGGGAGCUGUAAGGCUUCUUGACGGUACCCAUGGAGGAAGCCCCGGCUAACUACGUGCCAGCAGCCGCGGUAAUACGUAGGGGGCGAGCGUUGUCCGGAAUCACUGGGCGUAAAGGGUGCGUAGGCGGCCUGAUAAGUCAGAUGUGAAAUACCAGGGCUCAACCCUGGGGGUGCAUUUGAAACUGUUGGGCUUGAGUGCAGGAGAGGAAAGUGGAAUUCCUAGUGUAGCGGUGAAAUGCGUAGAGAUUAGGAGGAACACCAGUGGCGAAGGCGACUUUCUGGACUGUAACUGACGCUGAGGCACGAAAGCGUGGGUAGCGAACA